UUCAUCUUGAUCCUCAUUCUCUCUCUCUUUGCCCAAAAACCAUUGUCAACGAAUAUAGGUAGGGUUCUCUCCACCAUUGCCGUCUUUUCAAGCUGAGACGUCGCUCCACCAUUGCCGUCGGCUUCUGCAAGAUUCGGUCAGCGUUCGCUCGCUCCUCUAUCGGUCGCAAGUCCAGAAGAUCGAGUCAUCGGCAGUCAUGGCCUCUUCCCUCACCGCCGGUGGUUCCCUCUUCCCUCGCCGCCAGUCGUUCCCUCUCCCCUCGCUGCCAGUUGUUCCAGCUCUAACUUAAGCAUCUUCUUCUAAUUCAGUAACUUUAGUCCAACAAAGAUCCCCAGUUGUGAAGGUCUAAAUAUGUUUUAAUGUCUCUAAGCCCUUCAAUGUUCUAGUUGAUCGUAUUGCAUUGGGAAUACCUGUAAGUAUGAACUACUUUAAAUAUGCUUUCAGAUUUGUUACAAGAGUUGCUUUCUAAAUUAUGUAUGUGGUCAUUAAGAUGCAAUAUAUUUGAACCAAAUGGUUGGAGGAAGUAAAUCUGUGAAUUUUUUGUCUAAGUGGUUGAUGUUGGUUAUUAAGGGCUUUAGUUAGGGGUGGGAGGAUGGAAUAUUAUUGUUUAAUCAAUGUUGUUAUCUUUGCAAGAGUUAAUGGUGAAUUAAUUAUGCAAGGAUGGAGAACACCAUUGCACAUAUCAUUUCUUCAUGUCUGAGCAUCAUCUUCUCUCCUUUGAUUACAAUCAACCAUUUCUUCUUGGUGGUUCGUGUCGUGGCACUGGAACCAGGACUAUUUUGAUCUUAUUAAUACAGGUACACCUAUGGAUUUUGGCACAAUAUGCAGCAACCUUCAAAAUGGUGUAGAGUACAAGAACUCAAAGGAUGUUUUAAGAGAUGUGCAACAUAUCUGGGAUCAGUGUCAUAAGUAUAAUAGAAAUGGCCAUGUUUUGGAGCUCAUGAAGCAGGUGAAGAAAAGUUUCACAUAGUUAUGGACAAAAGUUGGGUUAUACUGGGAACAAUCGCUUCAAUUUGUUUUUCUUUUGGGUUUCUGUUUCUUGUAAUUCUCAAUCAAAAUUGGGUUUCUAUUUGUAU
Molecule: long non-coding RNA, 1076 nt
Organism: Diospyros lotus (date-plum)
Lineage: Eukaryota; Viridiplantae; Streptophyta; Magnoliopsida; Ericales; Ebenaceae
Exons: 4
Source: RefSeq, a predicted model, not a curated record